RNAcentral lists this long non-coding RNA (1062 nucleotides) under Helianthus annuus (common sunflower). Its description in RNAcentral is "hypothetical non coding rna". Lineage: Eukaryota; Viridiplantae; Streptophyta; Magnoliopsida; Asterales; Asteraceae. The record is from RNAcentral.
UGUUAUAUUGUUAUGUAUCAAACUAUACAAUAUGUAAAACAUACAUACCUGAAUAACGGGUAGCAAAGGAGACUUCAAAUCAGUUCUCAAAUCAAUAAACAAUUUCCUCAAUCUCUCUUUAUACAAUUCAGCAUCACUUAUAUUCAACGUAUCUCUCUCCCCUUGAAACCACAACACGCCCCUAAUCUCUCCACCACCUUCCCCCGCGGCAGCCGCCCUACGCGUCAACUCGUCGUAAAGCCUACCGCCGCGGGACCACUCUCCUAUCCCACUCCCUCCAAUUGCACAAGGCACCAAACCAACCACCCGAAACCGCCUUGGAUCGCCUCUCAACACCGCAUUCGCAAACGCCAUCCCUGGCCCCACCCCACAAGUUUUGUUCACAUCAAUAUCUAUAUGAAGUGGUUCAUGUGCAUCUUCCCAUGUUAGAUCACCACCUAACCGUAGAAUCUUUCCGGGGCGGGGCUUGACUUCUGGCGGGAUUAUCCCGUCCCAGUUUUUGUCAAUCACCCCGCCCCGUCCGGCCAUGUUGCUUUGGCCGGCUAGAAUAAAAACAUCUUUGAUAAGAUAGGUUGAUCUAGUUGAAGUAUUGGUGAAGGUAGGUAGUUUGACAUGAAGAGGAUAUUUUAGAGAAAGAAGAAGAUUAAUUGGUGGGUGGGAAUUAUUUUAGUUGUUUUAUAUGUGCAAAAGCAACUUUUGUCUUGUGAUUGAAGCCGAGAUUUAAUUGUUUAGUUUGGCAGUAUACCGGAAUUCUAGUACAACACAAGAUAAAAGACUGGUCUGGUCCCCUUAAAUAUCUCAAAGGAAAUAAAUAAAAAAAUAAAAACAUAUCUUUAUAUAAUGCAUAUUAGAUAGAUAAUAAGGUAAUAACUUCAUUUGAGGAACACACCAUUAUAAUUUAUCUCAAAGUUUAAGACAUAUUAAUAUAUAAUUUAAUAAAUUACUAAUUAAAUGCAUUAAAUACACUUUCUCAACAAUAAUUAUGGGAAAAUAGAAAAAUAAUAAUAUUAAUAAUAAAACAAUGAAACUAAAACCAAGUGGUUUUAUUACCACUUCUUUGUA